CCCAGGGGCUGGCGCGGAGAGGGCCCACAGUGCACUCAGUGACACUGUAUGCCUUCACCGCUCAGCCCCUGGG
Equus asinus (donkey) is the source of this 73-nucleotide microRNA precursor. Ensembl annotates it as microRNA 675. Lineage: Eukaryota; Metazoa; Chordata; Mammalia; Perissodactyla; Equidae. The record is from Ensembl.